UAUCGGUAUUUCUAGCUUUCAAAAUUAAAAGUAAAAAUAAAAGCAUUUAUUUCUCCAUAGCUUCCUUUUCACUGUAGUUAAAACACUGGCUUUGGAUAUCACUGUUAACAUUGUGAGUGCAUUACAUUUAAACUUAAAAAAUUAUGAAGACUAUGAAACAUAUUUUCAGUGUAAAACAGUGAUUUUUUUCACAAAGAAGUGAGAAACACAUCAGCAAGCUUAGUCCUUGUGUCUUCUUUAGGUGACAAUGAAGAGCGUGUUCUAUGUACUGAAUGUUGCUGGAGGGCAAGUUUCCCAGAUGGGAACCAGGACAUCUUUCAGAAUGAAGAUGAUGAAGGUCUAGUGGUAUGAUGACCAGAGAUGGGGAGAGUAACAGCUGGAAAGACAAAGACAAAACUCACCGUAUUCAUAUCAACUGUUCCUGUAACACCACCAUCAACUGAAGGAUUAGAAGAGGGAAAUGCCCUUGAAAAGGGGAACUGUGAAGAGACUAUUCCUGGAAAGCUGUAUCUGGGCAGUGAAAAGGAGCAAGUAGGCAUUAUCAGCUUCCAUCACCCAGUGAAGUUGUCUCCAGGCAAUGAUCAAAGGAAAUUGUGCAGCUGCCUUUUAAGUCUAUUACACAACAAGAAUUCCAGGAUUUUGAUUUCAUUUCAGAGAAUAAGCAAGCCUCCAGUGCAGAGUUCAUGGACAAAAACGUAUUUAGUAUUACAAAAUCUGUCUUGAGAUCUAAAGGGCACAGCUAAAACAGACCUGAAACAGGCAACAGACAAACAGGACAAACAUUUCUCAUAUGUAUUGUCAUUA
This 804-nucleotide long non-coding RNA is filed under the name Anser brachyrhynchus (Pink-footed goose). Its description in RNAcentral is "lncRNA (ENSABRG00000003064.1)". Lineage: Eukaryota; Metazoa; Chordata; Aves; Anseriformes; Anatidae. The record is from RNAcentral.